RNAcentral lists this unclassified non-coding RNA (155 nucleotides) under soil metagenome. RNAcentral describes it as "partial internal transcribed spacer 1". The record is from RNAcentral.
CCGAGUUAUACAACCCCUCAAACCCCUGUGAACAUACCUAUAACGUUGCCUCCGGCGGGAACAGCCCGCGCCCCGUAACACGGGACGCCCCCGCCAGCAGGAUCCACCAACUCUGUUUUAUAUGUUACUUCUGAGUAACAAGACAAAUAAAUCUA